UACGGAGGGUGCGAGCGUUGUUCGGAAUCACUGGGCGUAAAGCGCGUGUAGGCGGUCCGCUAAGUCUGGUGUGAAAGCCCGGGGCUCACCCCCGGAAGGGCACUGGAAACUGGCGGACUCGAGUCCCGGAGAGGAGGGUGGAAUUCCUGGUGUAGCGGUGAAAUGCGUAGAUAUCUGGAGGAAUACCGGUGGCGAAGGCGGCAUCCUGGACCGACAUUGACGCUGAUGAGCGAAAGCUAGGGGGGCAAACGGG
Molecule: ribosomal RNA, 253 nt
Filed under: uncultured bacterium
Lineage: Bacteria
Description: partial 16S ribosomal RNA
Rfam family: Bacterial small subunit ribosomal RNA
Source: RNAcentral